Molecule: ribosomal RNA, 253 nt
Filed under: uncultured bacterium
Lineage: Bacteria
Description: partial 16S ribosomal RNA
Rfam family: Bacterial small subunit ribosomal RNA
Source: RNAcentral
UACAGGGGGGGCAAGCGUUGUUCGGAAUUACUGGGCGGAAAGGGCUCGUAGGGGGCCAACUAAGUCGGACGUGAAAUCCCUCGGCUUAACCGGGGAACUGCAUCCGAUACUGGAUGGCUUGAGUUCGGGAGAGGGAUGCGGAAUUCCAGGUGUAGCGGUGAAAUGCGCAGAUAUCAGGAGGAACACCGGUGGCGAAGGCGGAUCUCUGGGCCUUGCCUGACGCUGAGGCGCGAAAGCUAGGGGAGCGAACAGG